GGGAUUGCCCUAGUAACGGCGAGUGAAGCGGCAACAGCUCAAAUUUGAAAUCUGGCGCAAGCCCGAGUUGUAAUUUGUAGAGGAUGCUUCUGGGUAGCGACCGGUCUAAGUUCCUUGGAACAGGACGUCAUAGAGGGUGAGAAUCCCGUAUGUGACCGGCCCGCACCCUUUACGUAGCUCCUUCGACGAGUCGAGUUGUUUGGGAAUGCAGCUCUAAAUGGGAGGUAAAUUUCUUCUAAAGCUAAAUACCGGCCAGAGACCGAUAGCGCACAAGUAGAGUGAUCGAAAGAUGAAAAGUACUUUGGAAAGAGAGUUAAAAAGCACGUGAAAUUGUUGAAAGGGAAGCGCCUGCAAUCAGACUUCGCGGCAGUGUUCCGCCGGUCUUCUGACCGGUUUAUUCUCUGUCGCGAGGCCAUCAUCGUCUCGGCCCGCUGGAUAAGACCUUGGGAAUGUAGCUCACCUUCGGGGGAGUGUUAUAGCUCAUGGUGAUGCAGCGAGGCUGGGGCGAGGUCCGCGCUUCGGCAAGGAUGAUGGCGUAAUGGUUGUCGGCGGCCCGUCUUGAAACACGGACCAAGGAGUCUAACAUCUAUGCGAGUGUUCGGGUGUCAAACCCCUACGCGUAAUGAAAGUGAACGGAGGUGGGAACCGCAAGGUGCACCAUCGACCGAUCCUGAUGUCCUCGGAUGGAUUUGAGUAAGAGCAUAGCUGUUGGGACCCGAAAGAUGGUGAACUAUGCCUGAAUAGGGUGAAGCCAGAGGAAACUCUGGUGGAGGCUCGCAGCGGUACUGACGUGCAAAUCGAUCGUCAAAUUUGGGUAUAGGGGCG
Molecule: ribosomal RNA, 825 nt
Filed under: Sphaerulina chaenomelis
Lineage: Eukaryota; Fungi; Ascomycota; Dothideomycetes; Mycosphaerellales; Mycosphaerellaceae
Description: partial large subunit ribosomal RNA
Rfam family: Eukaryotic large subunit ribosomal RNA
Source: RNAcentral